This 495-nucleotide ribosomal RNA is filed under the name uncultured bacterium. RNAcentral describes it as "partial 16S ribosomal RNA". It matches the Rfam family "Bacterial small subunit ribosomal RNA", at positions 28 to 507 of the family's 1533-position model. The record is from RNAcentral.
GACGAACGCUGGCGGCGUGCCUAAUACAUGCAAGUAGAACGCUGAAGGAGGAGCUUGCUUCUCUGGAUGAGUUGCGAACGGGUGAGUAACGCGUAGGUAACCUGCCUGGUAGCGGGGGAUAACUAUUGGAAACGAUAGCUAAUACCGCAUAAUAGCAGUUAUUGCAUGAUAACUGUUUGAAAGGUGCAAUUGCACCACUACCAGAUGGACCUGCGUUGUAUUAGCUAGUUGGUGGGGUAACGGCUCACCAAGGCGACGAUACAUAGCCGACCUGAGAGGGUGAUCGGCCACACUGGGACUGAGACACGGCCCAGAAUCCUACGGGAGGCAGCAGUAGGGAAUCUUCGGCAAUGGACGGAAGUCUGACCGAGCAACGCCGCGGGAGUGAAGAAGGUUUUCGGAUCGUAAAGCUCUGUUGUAAGAGAAGAACGAGUGUGAGAGUGGAAAGUUCACACUGUGACGGUAUCUUACCAGAAAGGGACGGCUAACUACGUG